RNAcentral lists this long non-coding RNA (288 nucleotides) under Rattus norvegicus (Norway rat). RNAcentral describes it as "partial Pvt1". Lineage: Eukaryota; Metazoa; Chordata; Mammalia; Rodentia; Muridae. The record is from RNAcentral.
GAUAUUGUCCCUAAGAGAACGAGAUGCUCUUUGCAGAAGACAUAGAAACCUGGAGAAGAGUGAAGAAGGCAUUUUCCCUCCCCUGCUUAGGCAUCUGCCACCAUAUUCAAUACUUUCUCCAGGGUUCUCAGGUUUCCCAUUGGCUUGGAAUUUGUCAAUUAGUUUUGCUGGCUGGACAGAAAGCCACACGGAUCCUCUUGUCUUGGUCUCCUGACAUUUGGAUUAAAGUCACCUGGAGGUGCAGGCCAUCGCUAUGUUAAACCUAUGAGGUGAUGAUAAACCACACAA